Molecule: long non-coding RNA, 775 nt
Filed under: Rosa chinensis
Lineage: Eukaryota; Viridiplantae; Streptophyta; Magnoliopsida; Rosales; Rosaceae
Description: sRNA RchiOBHm_Chr2g0150681
Source: RNAcentral
AUGUACCCGGUGUUGUUUGUGUCAUUCCUCACAGGUUUCUUAAUUUGCAUACAACUAGAAGUUGAAACUUUCUGCAAGUAGACUCUCAUUUUAGAAAUGGAAUUCUUUCAAGGAGUCAAUCAGGCAUUGGGUCUAUUAUUGGAGUCAUGGACAUUGGUCAACUUUUAGAAAUUCUUGACAUGCUUGUAAAGUGUUUGAGAUUAAGUAUAAUUUUUGCUCAAGUCUUUAUUUUAUUUCUCAGGAAUUUGGCCCGAGUCUGAAAGCUUUAGAGAUGAGGGUAUGGGAGACAUUCCAUCUCGUUGGAGAGGCAAUAUGUCAAGGAGGAGAAAAGUUCAAUCACUCCCAUUGCAAUAGACUUUGUUAAGAAUCUCUUUUCAUUAUCGAGAAAUCCAAGAAUCUUUCAGUAGCCAAGCAUCAAAUGUGGGUUGAUAGUUGAUACUAGCUUUUGAUAAAAGUCUCUUCCUCUCUUUUUCUUAUUUUUUUAAUAUAAUUUUUUUAUGUUACUCCCCGAGAUGCUUCAGGACAUGGUACUCAUACAUCAUCCACUGCAGCCGGUGGUUUUAUAGAAAAUGCAAGUUUUAUGGGAGUUGCUUUAGGAUUGGCAAGAGGAGGUGCUCCAUCAUCUUGGUUAGCUAUUUACAAAGUUUGUUGGGCUACUGGUGGCUGCAUCAUCUUGGUUAUGUGUUGAAGAACAUCCUCAAGUUGUAAUGUAUGCAAUUGCUCAUGCCCUAGAAGCUGUGAAGUGAAAUAGGCUAGAAAUGUAUUUUUGUGCUCC